CAGAGACUGAGAACGAAGAAGUGAAGAACUACCUCAUGGAAAAGUACUGGUACACCUGUUGUACCACCUACAAAUGAAUUAUGUAUGAGCUUUGUAAAAUAAAAGAAGGUGUUAGGUAACGAGUGGAGAGACACCCAGUUGUUCAGGGUUCUCCCAUGGGCUGAUGUCAUGAGAAGUAUUUGUGUGUCUGACUAUUGUAUGUAUAGGUGAAGAGGGCUCCUGCGGCUGAUCGGUUCCAGGCUGAGAGAAGAAUUUCUUCCACAGGAUACAUAUUACAACAGAAAAAUUAGAGUAAACAAGGAUAAGCAUGUAUUAACCCAGGAGUAGAGGAGAAGCACCAAGGCAGCAGGAGAC
This 354-nucleotide long non-coding RNA is filed under the name Scleropages formosus (Asian bonytongue). RNAcentral's name for it is "lncRNA (ENSSFOG00015025891.1)". Lineage: Eukaryota; Metazoa; Chordata; Actinopteri; Osteoglossiformes; Osteoglossidae. The record is from RNAcentral.